AGUGAACGCUGGCGGUAGGCCUAACACAUGCAAGUCGAACGGCAGCACAGUAAGAGCUUGCUCUUACGGGUGGCGAGUGGCGGACGGGUGAGGAAUACAUCGGAAUCUACUUUUUCGUGGGGGAUAACGUAGGGAAACUUACGCUAAUACCGCAUACGACCUACGGGUGAAAGCAGGGGAUCUUCGGACCUUGCGCGAUUGAAUGAGCCGAUGUCGGAUUAGCUAGUUGGCGGGGUAAAGGCCCACCAAGGCGACGAUCCGUAGCUGGUCUGAGAGGAUGAUCAGCCACACUGGAACUGAGACACGGACCAGACUCCUACGGGAGGCAGCAGUGGGGAAUAUUGGACAAUGGGCGCAAGCCUGAUCCAGCCAUACCGCGUGGGCGAAGAAGGCCUUCGGGUUGUAAAGCCCUUUUGUUGGGAAAGAAAAGCAGCAGGUUAAUACCCCGCUGUUCUGACGGUACCCAAAGAAUAAGCACCGGCUAACUUCGUG
Molecule: ribosomal RNA, 492 nt
Filed under: uncultured bacterium
Lineage: Bacteria
Description: partial 16S ribosomal RNA
Rfam family: Bacterial small subunit ribosomal RNA
Source: RNAcentral